AUGGCUCCAUCCGAGGAGUGCGGCUGGCUGCUGUACGUUUCCCUCGCCGCCAAAUGCUGCGCCAACGGCGACGGCGAGCCUUACCGCGUGGUAGGCUUUGUUGCCGUUCUGCUCGCCGUCUUGGUCGUCACGUCGCUCCUGCACUGGGCGUCUCAGGGUGGUGCGGCGUGGGGGAGGUAUUGGUGGACGAGCAAGGGUCUGGGCAUUGGCGAGGCCCGUAUCGCGGGGCCACGGGGCUUCCCCGUGAUCGGCAGCAUGGGCCUCAUGACUGGCCUCGCCCACCGGAAGCUCGCGGCGGCGGCGUCGGGAAACGUCAGGCGCCGGCGGCUCAUGGCCUUCUCCAUGGGGGAGACCCGGGUGGUGGUGACCGCCGACCCUGACGUGGCGAGAGAGCUGCUGGCUAGCCCGGCGUUCGCCGACCGGCCGGUCAAGGAGUCCGCAUACGGGCUUAUGUUCCAUCGCGCCAUCGGGUUCGCCCCCUACGGCGCCUACUGGCGCACGCUCCGCCGGGUGUCGUCCUCGCACCUCUUCUCUCCGCGGCAGGUGGCCGCCUCCGCCGCGCAGCGCGCAGUGAUCGCGCGCCAGAUGGUGGAUGCCAUGAGGCCCGUCGGCGGCGCUGGCGUCAAGCACGUUGAGGCGCGGCGGUUCCUGAAACGCGCGUCGCUGCACAACGUGAUGUGGUCCGUUUUUGGCCGGGGGUACGAGCUGGACGAGGCGGGGAGCGGGGAGGCGGCGGAGCUGAAGAGCCUUGUCGACGAAGGCUACGACCUGCUCGGCCAGCUCAAUUGGUCCGACCACCUCCCGUGGCUCGCACGCUUCGACCUGCAGAAGAUCCGGUCCAGGUGCUCCGCCCUCGUCCCCCGCGUGAACCGCUUCGUCGGCAGGAUCAUCGACGAGCACCGUGCCGCCCGGAACGACGCCGUGGUAGACUUCACCGACGUUCUGCUCUCCCUCCAGGGCGGCGACAAACUCUCCGACGCCGACAUGAUCGCCGUUCUCUGGGAGAUGAUCUUUCGUGGCACCGACACCGUGGCAGUGGUGAUCGAAUGGGUGCUGGCCCGGCUGGUGCUGCACCAGGACGUGCAGGCAAGGGUCCAUGAGGAGCUGGACCGGGUUGUCGGGCCGAACCGGGCCGUGACUGAGUCGGACGCCGGCUCGCUCGUCUUUCUCCAGGCCGUGGUCAAGGAGGUCUUGCGCCUUCACCCACCAGGCCCACUGCUAUCGUGGGCGCGGCUUGCCACGUCGGACGUCCACGUAGGUGGGUUACUCGUCCCCGCGGGGACCACUGCCAUGGUCAACAUGUGGGCCAUAACCCACGACCCAGCCGUGUGGGACAAGCCGGCGGUGUUCAAGCCAGAACGGUUCCUCGCCGGGCCAUCGUCGGACCACGCCGCCGCAGGGGCUGAGUUCUUUGGAACGGGUUCCGAUCUCAGGCUCGCGCCGUUCGGGUCAGGCAGGCGGAGCUGCCCCGGCAAGUCACUCGCGAUCGCCACCGUUGGAUUCUGGGUUGCCACGCUGCUGCACGAGUUCGAGUGGACGCCGCCGGCGUCCAACGGGCCAGGUGGCGUAGACCUGUCUGAGGUGCUGAGGCUGUCGUGUGAGAUGGCAGCUCCGCUGGAGGCAAGGCUGAGGCCGAGGCGUGCUGUGUGA
RNAcentral lists this ribosomal RNA (1650 nucleotides) under Triticum aestivum (bread wheat). RNAcentral's name for it is "partial small subunit ribosomal RNA". The record is from RNAcentral. Lineage: Eukaryota; Viridiplantae; Streptophyta; Magnoliopsida; Poales; Poaceae.